UCACUUCACAUUAAGCCGGCAUCGCCUAUAUAGGGGAUGCCGGUUUCGACCGGAUAUGGCGAUAAAUUGCAGUGUGCAAUAGACAUAACGGACCCGGGGGCAGUACCCGGCGGCUCCACCAAAAACCGCAGGAAACUGCGGUUCCUGACGGGGCCGAACUAGGAUCGACGUGUGUUGAAAAGCAUUGUUUUUGCCCGGGUUGAGAAUCCCCGUAAAAAGCUCAUUUUUAUAAGUGCAAACGAUAACGAAGCACUCGCUCUCGCUGCGUAAUUUGAUGGCCUAACGGCCUGACUUUACAAAGCCUAAGCGCGGUUGGACCCACCGGGCAACAGAAGCGGAUUCCG
RNAcentral lists this transfer-messenger RNA (344 nucleotides) under Pontixanthobacter luteolus. RNAcentral's name for it is "Altererythrobacter luteolus transfer-messenger RNA". It matches the Rfam family "Alphaproteobacteria transfer-messenger RNA". From Rfam's summary of the family: Bacterial tmRNA, also known as 10Sa RNA or SsrA, is named for its dual tRNA and mRNA-like properties. Its role is to liberate the mRNA from a stalled ribosome. To accomplish this part of the tmRNA is used as a reading frame that ends in a translation stop signal. Lineage: Bacteria; Pseudomonadati; Pseudomonadota; Alphaproteobacteria; Sphingomonadales; Erythrobacteraceae. The record is from RNAcentral.